This 640-nucleotide ribosomal RNA is filed under the name uncultured bacterium. Its description in RNAcentral is "bacterial SSU rRNA". It matches the Rfam family "Bacterial small subunit ribosomal RNA", at positions 555 to 1193 of the family's 1533-position model. The record is from RNAcentral.
UGGGCGUAAAGCGUGCGCAGGCGGUUUUGUAAGACAGGCGUGAAAUCCCCGGGCUCAACCUGGGAACUGCGCUUGUGACUGCAAGGCUAGAGUAUGGCAGAGGGGGGUGGAAUUCCACGUGUAGCAGUGAAAUGCGUAGAGAUGUGGAGGAACACCAAUGGCGAAGGCAGCCCCCUGGGCCAAUACUGACGCUCAUGCACGAAAGCGUGGGUAGCAAACAGGAUUAGAUACCCUGGUAGUCCACGCCCUAAACGAUGUCAACUAGGUGUUGGGUGGGUAAAACCAUUUAGUACCGGAGCUAACGCGUGAAGUUGACCGCCUGGGGAGUACGGCCGCAAGGUUAAAACUCAAAGGAAUUGACGGGGACCCGCACAAGCGGUGGAUGAUGUGGAUUAAUUCGAUGCAACGCGAAAAACCUUACCUACCCUUGACAUGUUCAGAAGCCUGAAGAGAUUUGGGUGUGCCCGAAAGGGAACUGGAACACAGGUGCUGCAUGGCUGUCGUCAGCUCGUGUCGUGAGAUGUUGGGUUAAGUCCCGCAACGAGCGCAACCCUUGUCGUUAAUUGCCAUCAUUUAGUUGGGCACUUUAACGAGACUGCCGGUGACAAACCGGAGGAAGGUGGGGAUGACGUCAAGUCCU